UUAUCCGGAUUUAUUGGGUUUAAAGGGUGCGUAGGCGGUUUGAUAAGUUAGAGGUGAAAUUUCGGGGCUCAACCCUGAACGUGCCUCUAAUACUGUUGAGCUAGAGAGUAGUUGCGGUAGGCGGAAUGUAUGGUGUAGCGGUGAAAUGCUUAGAGAUCAUACAGAACACCGAUUGCGAAGGCAGCUUACCAAACUAUAUCUGACGUUGAGGCACGAAAGCGUGGGGAACAAACAGGAUUAGAUACCCUGGUAGUCCACGCAGUAAACGAUGAUAACUCGUUGUCGGCGAUACACAGUCGGUGACUAAGCGAAAGCGAUAAGUUAUCCACCUGGGGAGUACGUUCGCAAGAAUGAAACUCAAAGGAAUUGACGGGGGCCCGCACAAGCGGAGGAACAUGUGGUUUAA
This 406-nucleotide ribosomal RNA is filed under the name uncultured bacterium. Its description in RNAcentral is "bacterial SSU rRNA". It matches the Rfam family "Bacterial small subunit ribosomal RNA", at positions 541 to 949 of the family's 1533-position model. The record is from RNAcentral.